UACGUAGGGGGCAAGCGUUGUCCGGAAUCAUUGGGCGUAAAGAGCGCGUAGGCGGUCCGGUAAGUCAGCUGUGAAAGUCAGGGGCUCAACCCUUGAAAGCCGGUUGAUACUGUCGGGCUAGAGUCCGGAAGAGGCGAGUGGAAUUCCCGGUGUAGCGGUGAAAUGCGCAGAUAUCAGGAGGAACACCGAUGGCGAAGGCAGCUCGCUGGGACGGUACUGACGCUGAGGCGCGAAGGCGUGGGGAGCGAACAGG
Molecule: ribosomal RNA, 253 nt
Filed under: uncultured bacterium
Lineage: Bacteria
Description: partial 16S ribosomal RNA
Rfam family: Bacterial small subunit ribosomal RNA
Source: RNAcentral